UACGUAGGGCGCAAGCGUUAUCCGGAAUUAUUGGGCGUAAAGAGCUCGUAGGCGGUUUGUCGCGUCUGCCGUGAAAGUCCGGGGCUCAACUCCGGAUCUGCGGUGGGUACGGGCAGACUAGAGUGAUGUAGGGGAGACUGGAAUUCCUGGUGUAGCGGUGAAAUGCGCAGAUAUCACUUGGAACGCCAAUGGUGAAGACAGCUCGCUGGGGGUGUCCUGACGCUGAGGCGCGAAAGCCAGGGGAGCGAACGGG
This 253-nucleotide ribosomal RNA is filed under the name uncultured bacterium. RNAcentral's name for it is "partial 16S ribosomal RNA". It matches the Rfam family "Bacterial small subunit ribosomal RNA", at positions 524 to 776 of the family's 1533-position model. The record is from RNAcentral.